ACGCCGUAAACGAUGAGCACUCGCUGUCGGCAACAUAGAGUCAGCGGCUGAGCGAAAGCAUUAAGUGAUCCACCUGGGGAGUACGUCGGCAACGAUGAAACUCAAAGGAAUUGACGGGGGCCCGCACAAGCGGUGGAACAUGUGGUCUAAUUCGAUGAUACGCGAGGAACCUUACCUGGGCUUAAAUGUAACCGGACGAUUCCGGAAACGGGAUUUCCUUAACGGCUGGUUACAAGGUGCUGCAUGGCUGUCGUCAGCUCGUGCCGUGAGGUGUCGGGUUAAGUCCCAUAACGAGCGCAACCCUUAUUCUUAGUUGCCAGCGGGUAGAGCCGGGGACUCUAAGGAGACUGCCACCCUCAGGUGUGAGGAAGGUGGGGAUGAUGUCAAGUCAGCACGGCCCUUACGUCCAGGGCUACACACGUGUUACAAUGGCCGGUACAGAAGGCAGCAAACUUGAGAGAGGGCGCGAAUCCAUGAAAGCCGGUCUCAGUUCGGAUUGGAGUCUGCAACCCGACUUCAUGAAGUUGGAAUCGCUAGUAAUCGCGCAUCACCAAUGGCGCGGUGAAUACGUUCCCGGGCCUUGUACACACCGCCCGUCAAGCCAUGGAAGCCGGGGGUACUUAGAAGUCCGUAACCACAAGGAGCG
RNAcentral lists this ribosomal RNA (646 nucleotides) under uncultured organism. Its description in RNAcentral is "bacterial SSU rRNA". It matches the Rfam family "Bacterial small subunit ribosomal RNA", at positions 797 to 1454 of the family's 1533-position model. The record is from RNAcentral.